GGACAAAAACAUUAUUGUAUAUUAACUUCUAUUACUAGUACAACAUCAUUAGACAAGAUAGAUAAGAUAGACACACUUCUGUCUUCGUAUUAGAAAUUGACAGGAGCAGUUGAAGCAUUUGACUUUUCAUAGUAUUAUUUAAGCGUCCAAGUGCUUAUCUUGAUGGUAUCUAAUAUAAUUGGUAUUCAUUCAUGGUAUCUUGUAGUUACUUCAUCAUAUUGUUAUUCAAGGGGAAAACUCUUAAAUAUAUUCAUAUGUUUUUUUUUCACAUUCACAUUAGAUAUUCCAUAAAGAUUGCUGAACAUUUAUGUGAUUUCUUCAGGAGGAAGAUAAGGUAAAGCUGGUACAGAAAACUGGUCUGUAAUUAAAGCAGAUCAGAGGAAGAGGCAUUAGCACAGCAAUCCUUCUUCUUCUACUACUUGAAGAGCAAGUGCAAAAGCAAAGGGUUGCAGUGAAGGCAAAGCAUCUCGAGUUUUAUAUGUGUCUGGUGAAGAUGUUAGCUUUUAUUGGGUUUCUUUCCUGCAUCUUGGUAUUGUAGUUUGGGAUAAUAUUUAAUUUCUCUGAUGUGGGCACUGAAGUUUAACAUUUGAUUUGUGACUGUGCUUUGGGUUUAGAGUCAGUUAACCUUCUCUAAUUUGGUUGCAUUUAUUUUGUUUUGUGUCAUGUGACAGAGCCUUGAGCAAAUUGGUAAUAGAGCAGAACGCCUUAGGAUUAAAUCAGAUAUAUAUUUAUAUUCAAGUACUGAUAUUGAGGACAUAUUGAAGAAAGCUCAGCUUCUUUCCCCUCGUGCUAUGGUUGUUGAUUCAAUACAAACUCUUGAUCCUAUUAACACUUGGUCAGAGCAAAAGGUUAAGUUGAAUGAUGCUGAGCACAAGUUAAAAGAUCAAGGACGUUAACUAAAGGUUCAACAGAAAAGAAUUGGUUCUACUAAAAAGACAA
Molecule: non-coding RNA, 939 nt
Organism: Arachis ipaensis
Lineage: Eukaryota; Viridiplantae; Streptophyta; Magnoliopsida; Fabales; Fabaceae
Source: RefSeq, a predicted model, not a curated record